This 914-nucleotide long non-coding RNA is filed under the name Fukomys damarensis (Damara mole-rat). Its description in RNAcentral is "lncRNA (ENSFDAG00000027330.1)". Lineage: Eukaryota; Metazoa; Chordata; Mammalia; Rodentia; Bathyergidae. The record is from RNAcentral.
GGUGUUUCUAUCUUUUUGCAGGGGAGAUGUGGACCAGGCAUCGAACUCCGAACCUUACACUUGUGAGGCAGGCGGCAGAACCACUGAACUAAACCCCAGGCCCUGUUGUUGGUGGUGUUGGUGGUGGUGGUGUUGGAGUCCAUGUGGGUAAAGGUCAGAACGGACCUUACACCGAGAUCCUUCCUUGGAAAUAAAGAGAUUACUGUGAAUGGUGCUGGAAGACAUCUGGAAACUUUUCCAGCCAGCUCCUCUAGUAAACUCAACACCGCGUGUGCCCUGGGUCGCCUGGCCCCAGGCCUCUCCCAUCGGCACGGCCACGCGUGCUGUGGUGAAGCUGCAGCUCUGAUGUGCACGCUCACACGGCACCUGUCCCUGUGCACCACAAGGGAGAACACACCAUCCACAACCACUGGCUCCCUCCGUCUUCAGCAGGAACCUCAGAGGGCUGCAGGCCUGGCCCACCUCCCCGACGAGCCCUGGUGAGUUUUCCUCACUGGUCUUCUCAGCUUCCCAACUCUGCACUGCUGUCCUCAUCCGACCAGUGUCUCGAUCCCCGCAUCACUGAGAAAACUCCGGCCUUCCUGCCCGUGGGGCACUUCCCACAGGAUACUUUCUGUGUGCCCAGCUCCAACGCCUCUGCCCCAUUUCGAAGGCCAGCACCCUCCCUGCCGGGCGCAGACGUCCUCGGGGCUCCAGUCUCGGUCUCCGCACCCCUCUUUCCUGCUGCAGUGGCCCGGGAACGUGCCGCAUUUCUCCCCAGUGACAAAUGAGCUCUCUGGAACCCUCCACCCUGACACCUUCCUGUCCGUCUUGUAGCAAACUUUCCCGAAGCGCUGUGCAAGCUUGCUUUUCUAACUCCCACUUCGUGCUUUCGGUCAGACCCACUGCAGUAAAACACUUGCCUUCGUGACGCC